Long non-coding RNA from Equus caballus (horse), 10791 nucleotides. Lineage: Eukaryota; Metazoa; Chordata; Mammalia; Perissodactyla; Equidae. The record is from Ensembl.
CCUGGUCUCAGGCCUCAGGCUCCUUACUGCCAAGAGAGGAAUGUGGCCUAUGUAAUCUCCGGUGUUCUUUCUAGCAGUAGAAUGCUCUGCUUCCAAGAGCACACAAGCCUUCAUGUAGCCUGUGUAACUAUGACAUGAAUUUCCAGCUUUCACAAGAGGCCACCUCCGAAUCAUGAAUAUCUUCCCGCCAGGCAGAUUUGGAAGGCGAUUGACUCUCCAGUUUGGGUCAUGGAUGUGGAUCCUGCCUUGGGAAUCCCCGGAUUCAACUCCCUCAUCCCAACUCAAAAGGGCUGAUUCUGUUUCUAACCUGUCAGUCAAUUUGGUUCAUCAGAAUCGUCUCUCUGGCCAGCUGACCUGGGAAAGAAAUGCAUCUGGCACCUCUCUGUUGUCUGUCAUCUCCAGUAAUAUCUACAAAGCAGUGUCUUGCCUGAGCCUACAGACCCCUCCCUUACCUGGAAGAACCACCCUCCCCCACCCCCUGGAAGGGAGCCAACGAAGCCAUUGAAAACUCAUGUCUUUCACGGUUUGAUGUCACGGCCUCCGCGUGGACAUCUCUCUGCUUGGGUACAGGAAGCGGACAGCGUCUGUUCCUGUGUCCUCCUCAAUGGAAAUAAAUUCAGCCUCAGGCGGGCCGAAGCCCAGGAACAAAUUGAGUCCUCAGAAGACCGCAUUAUCUGCUUUGCAAACAGCCCAGGAAUCUCGGCUCCUUAGUGCUGAUAGUGGUGAGAGAGCCUCCAACACUUACUCCUUCCGCUCCAUCAAUCAGCCUCGGGGUUCUCAGUAGCUCAGAGUCAUGAGACCACAGAAACAUGGGAUGACAGAGCAUGGAAAGGUCUUAGAGAUCAUUAAAUUGACCCACCUCAUUUGGUGGGAGCAAACCUGCUGGUCAUCAGGUAACUUAUAUUACGUGCUUUGAGGACCACUCCCACAGCGGCUGAGUACUUGUAGCCUGUAAAGCAUGGCAACCAGGACAGACAAGCGUCCAUCCAGGUUCCUGACACCAGGACUCUCUAGAAGAAAGAAAAGGCCAAGAGGAAACUUCCAAGGAAGCUAUUUGUCACCUUGUCCCGACUUGCAGAUGGGGAGUGAGGAAAUUUGUCCCAAGGAUCACGGCUGGGAAGCGGCCAGGCGCAGCGUCCCACUCGGGCCUGGGUGAUGCUCAGUCCUCCCUGUGAUGGAUCCUCCUGCCCCGCCCUGUCUGUGGGUCCAGCCUGCACAAUGUCUGUGAAGCGGUUCAGCGAACACUGUGAGCACGUGUUGCCAAGAUGCCUAGCCCCAUGGAGGGCAGCUUCCAGAGGAGGGAAAAGGCUCAGAGCAGUCAAUCUCCUUGUGCAGGCGCCACAGCUAAGAGCCGCUGCAGAACCACGCAGCACGCUGACUUGCCCCCGGGAGUCCCCUGUGGCACCGGGCUUCAUGUGGCUCUGUGUUGGGGGCUGGCACGGGCAGCGGGGCACCAGCUUCUCCCUCAGACGUGAACCCGAGGCAGAGAUAAGAGCAGCCUCAAGAUGCCACCUUCAGGACACCGAAGUGUCGUCUUCAGGACACCAGACAUUGGAAACGAAGCUUUGCUCCCGGGAACAUGUCAGGUACAACCAAACACACUGUCAGUAUCUGAGGGGGACAGGGGGACCUGCAGACCUCUCUGGUAGCAAACCCUCGUUCACCCCCCUGGAGCCGGCAGCUGGCGACGGUGCUGGGGGCGGUGGAGAGCCUGGCCCUGGGAGGCUGGUCUGCAGCCAGACCCCAGGUUCAGGCAUGCCCCACCAUCUCCUGUGAGAGCUUAGGGAAGUCACCUAGCCUCCUGGUGCCUUAGCUUCCUCACCUGCAAAAUGGGGACCUUAGCAGUAACUCACAGAGCGGUGAUGCGGUAAGUCAGUUUCUAUAUGAAAGGGGCUUGAGUGGUGUCUGGAAGUGGUGGCAUAAACGAUCCCCUGGGAUGGUGGAGGCCGACCUUUGGCGCCCCCAUGACAAUGCCUUUGCCAUGGCAGCUGCUGCUGCUAAGUCAGGCUCUGAGUUUGUCUUGGCUUGACUUGUUUCCAUUUUCAAUUGAAAAUUGAAUUUGGAUAGACUUCAGCCUGACUGGGUCUGCUCCCUGGCCCUCGGCCAGCCAGCUCUGAGUAACUGCAGACAGGGUGGGGUCAUCGGGAUUUGGUUAUUGGAUUUUUUUUCCCCCCUGCGGUUUUGGGCAACCUGCUCCAUGACGGGCAGCUGCGUCGUCUUAAGGCUGGACUUUCCGGGAGAGCAUGUGGGUCACUCAGGGCGUCAGCUGGAAAGGACUGCUUUUGGAUGAGGUCAUCUGCCUGGACCAGGAGCUGCUUCCUUUUGCCUUGCAGCCCCUCAGUUGAUCAAAGUCUGGGGACACCCAGCUCCAACGGCUGUGGCUUCAUUGCUAGACAAUUGGGACGGCUGUUUCCAUUUGUGAGGAUGUGACUGCUCCUUGCUGAUCAUCUCUGUGCUUCUCUGGCCAUAAGCCCCGUCUCCAGCACCCCCAACACCUCACCCCCCUGAGCUCUGGGGGUAGGCAGAGGAGGGGAGCCCCAGUCAGCCGCGUCCCUGCUCCAGACAUGUAUCCCACUGACCCCCACCAUGAGGGUCUCUUCUACUGGCUGGCAUCCAGUUAGCGGGGCUGAUGGGCCCUUUCCUGGCUGUUCUCCAACUGUCCUGAAGUGUGCUCACUGGGACCCAUCUCUCCCUGCCCCUGGGAACCACUGCAGGCCCGUUCCCCAUGACACCAGGCCUGGCCAUGUUGAAAGUCCUAUGAAUCUAAAACUUGAAUGAAGAGCAUUUAGCUUGGGGCACACCCUUUGUGCAUGCUUGUGUGCAUGCGCGCGGGGUGGGGCUUUUUAUUUAUUAAAAAAUAUUUGUCUAGGGCAAGAAGUACCCAGAUACACCAGCCCAGAGCACUAAAUCAUGGGAACAGGGAGGCAGAUUGCCUUCAUAUCAUACAGAGACCAAAGACUCCUCAUGGAAGGACCCAACACAAGAUUCUUCUAGCAGAUCGAGGUGCUGGCAGCCCCCUGAAGCAAUGGGUUAUGAUCAGCGGGGGGCAGUCCCGAAGCCCCAGCACUGACACUGCAUUUUGUCAGUGAUGUCGGAAUGGCACCCUCUUCUGAGCGCUGUCGUACCACGCUGGGCCACUGGCAGCAGAUGCAAAUGGAGUCGAUAACUCUGCAAAAAGUCGCCAGACAAUUUAUCCUGCUGGCACCAAGCCUAGAAUUAUAAUCAGAUCUUGACUUCUUCAAAGCUUUCUGGCUUUGGAUUUUCCAAAUCGAAAAUAAAUAUCGAGGGCAAUUACCUUCCUUUAGUCCUCUGAUGUGCGAAGGAGAGUUUUCAUCCAUUAAUUCAAGAACUCUUUCAUUUCAUUCGGAAGGUAUUAGUCCAUGGAAAUUGUUAACUCAAUAUCAACACAGGCCGUCUAGGUUUUGACUAAAAAGAGAGAGGAUUUAUUAUGCCCUGGGUUAAUAUUUUCCUCUCUUUAAGGUCUUGGGCAUGCCAGACACUCCUUCUCAGACAAAAACGGCUGUUUUCUUCCCAUUACUGGACGCAUUGUUUGUCCCCCUUUACCUGUUAUCCUCAGAAUAACCUCAAGGGGGCAGCAAACCACAAUGUCUGGAGGUGGUUCUGGGGCAUUCCCUGCAAACGCAGAGCUGAUCCGGGACUCUCCUCCAGAAGGGGAAUGGUUAUUGGAUUACUGGUUGCCUUCUCCGGAGCUUCUUUGGGCUUGACAGGAAAGCACUUCUCUUGGAGGGAAAGCCAGAGCUCCUCCAGUCUCAUUUUUAGAGAGCUGCGAACAUGACCAGACCUAUUAAUUACUUAAUUGAGGUUCUGGGCUUUGAAGAUGAAAAGUGCUGUGUAAGUGGCGAGUUCUGUUGUUUCCAGUCUGGGGAGCUCUUUAUUGCGGCUCUUCUGAGUAUCUCUUUCAAGUCAUCAAGUUCACUCUGGUGACCUUCCUCGGUGAUACAGACAACCCACCCCACCCCUGAGGUUCAAAGAAGUGUCUCGUGGGUGAACCCACUUGGAAACACAUCCUUGAUCGCAAGCACACCAAGCUGCCCACAGAGUGCCAGCAAAGGGCUUAGUCACCCUCGGCGUGCGUCCCUCUCACACAUCCAGUCACAGGCCCCCUGUGGUGGCUGAGAAUUUGCAGGGGUGCUGGUUCCUUAAAGACUCUAUGCUUGGCUGAGAUAAGCUGAUGGGUGUCUUGGUGGCUUUGUGGCCCUGCCCGGGCCCACAUAAGUGAGCAGCAUCUCCAUGUGGGACGCCAGCUCGGCCCGGGGUUGAGUAGCAUCUGGGUUCAUCUUCACCUGUGGGAAGCAGGGGUGAGGGGAGACAACCCUGCACGGAUGGAGCAAAGUCAUAGGCAAUAAUGGAAACACUCGAACGUGGAGUUGAUGCUUUGGUUUACAAAGAACUUUCACAUCUGACAUUAUCUCAGUUGAACUUCUCCAAGACCCGGUGAAGCGGCUGAGGAUGUGGGGGGAGCGGCAGGAGAAUCCCAGAGCAGCAGCAAGAGAGGUGCAGGGCCGGAAGUGAAGACCAGGAGGGCAGGGCUUCUCUCUCGAAAGCCCGCCGCCUCCCUUCCUCCUCUCCUCCUUCCGCCCUCCCUCCUUCCGAUUAGGUGGGAAUGCUGAAAUGGGUACAAAGGCAAAAUCCUAAAGGCAAACCCCCAAAGCUGACCUAACCUAAGAUAUUCGCCUCCGUGGUAACAGAAUUAAAAAGUCAAUUCCUAUAAAGCAGGGCGUUUGACACACUCUGCUGCCCUUAGUAAUUUUUGUAGAUGCUGUACAUAGUUUUUUUUCGCAUCUAAAUGGAGGAGCAAGAGAAAUCACGGAAGAAACUUACAAAGUCUAGACUCACUGCAAAGGGCUGUGAGGGAAAACAGGAACCCCCGAUCCAAGGUGGUGUUUUCCUUCCCAGGCUGGGCGUGUGCGCGUCUUCGCAGUGCGGGGUCCCUUCACGUGCAGACCAUGGCCUCACAUAGCUCGAUAAAUCUGCCUCACUUAGUUUUUUGAGAGUCUCUACAAUUCCCUUAGCUGGAUUACUACGACCUCAAGAACAAGACCGUGACUUUCUCCACUUGAUAGUCCAAAAAACACUGAGCACAGACGCUGCCUACGGCCUGUCUUUGCCACACGUUUUCUGAGAGCACGGAUGCACGAGAGAAGGGACCGGAGAACGGAGGCAGGCUGCCCAGUUCAGCAGAAGAGCUGUGUAGUCGGUAAAAUGGCGCUGGAUACAAACAAGUGUUGAAGCCUUACUAUGGACCAGGCACUACUCUGGGGGUUUUAUAUAUAAUCUCAUUCAUCCUUAUACUUUACAGAAGAAGAAACUAAGGUACAGGAAGGUUGAAGAACUUGCUUAGAGUCACGCUAUUAGUAAUCGUCGGGUGGAAUUCAUCCUCAGGCUGUUGCACAUAACACGUCAAACUUAGCCACUACGGUCUACCAUUCUUGUGAAUUUUCAACUAGGCCACUAAUCUUCAAGGCUGCUGGCAGAAAUUGUGGCGCCUUCCUUUACAAUCGUAUUUGGAACGAUGAUUUUAUUCUACGAUGUGUCUGAUUCUGUUUAAAGGAAGGUUGUGCGUUCAUCUUGAUUCUCAUUGGAAGAGACACACCGUGACCAAGAUUUCUGAUGCCAUUGGGUGCUGAGCAGCAGAGACCCCCUUGGUGGUCAUCCACUAGUCCUCAGCUUGGUUCAUGGUCCCUCCUCCCCUACCAUCUCCCUGCUGGCACCCUUGGCUCCUGCCAGACUAUGCUGCGUGCUGUCUCCUGCCCACGGCUUGGGUUCGGGGCUCUCUAGCUCAGUCCUGUAAGUGCAGAGGUAAAUUGGCAUUGGAGACAAGAGUAUAAUUAAUCCUUUCAGUAUCACCCUCCUCUCAUGGCCAAGACACAUAUAUUCCCACUUUGGAGAAGCGAUUCCUGAAAUCAUAAUGACAGCCAACACUGCUGUGUUCAUUCCAAGAACUUCAAGUACAACACACAUAAGUAGGUCAUUUGAUCCUCAAAUGUUUUUUUGGAAUAACAAUCAUACCUACCUCAGGUGUCAUACCUACAUGUGCAUGGUGAUAUAAAGUGGAAACAGGAAUUAUUGAAAUGUGAUAUUUAAAAUUUAAGCAUUUUUUAAACUAAAAGUUCAAAAAUCCAAAAAGAAAUUAUGAUGGAAUGCACAACAGUGGGAGUUUUGGAAAAAUAAGGGUUUUUUUUUAGCAAAACACACACGCACAAGCACACACACUUUGCUGUCUUGGGAACUCCAGCAGCCUGGGGGGUGGCCCCUGGGACUGGGCAUUGGAAACCCCAGCCCUGCCCUGGGCAGGAGCCGCCGAGUCCCUUGCAGCCGUGGAAUCCUUGUCUCCAUUCUCUGGACCCCUGGCAGCAGGCCCUCUUCCUCUCAGCGGGGCUGGCAGCCGCUCAUCCCUUUCCUGCUGUCACCACCCCUCAACUCUUUUUUUUUUCCUUCUUCUCCCCAAAGCCCCUGGGUGCAUAGUUGUAUAUUCUGGUUGUAGGUGCUUCUAGUUCUGCCAUGUGGGGCACCGCCUCAGCAUGGCUCAAUGAGCAGUGCUUGGUCUGCACCCAGCAUCUGAACCUGGGAAACUCUGAGCAUGCAGACUUAACCACUUGGCCAUGGGGCCGGCCCAUCAGCUCUUUUGAUUGCCUCCUCCCUCUGCCACUGCCUGCCAGACCCUCUGCCCUGAAACCAAUCCCUCAAAUCACUUCACGAUGCACCUUGAAACAUCCAUGUCAACACGUCAUUACUCAAAAUCCCACAGCAAAGAAAUGCAUUUUAGAACGUGACCCACUGCAUCUGUAAGCAUGUGCAGAGAUACAUGCUUACGUGCAUACAUAUAUGUGCAUAUACACACCCCCCCCCAGGAAAACCCGCGACAAGAUGAGUGAAAUAAGGUUUACUUUUCCUACAUGACACCCUCUCAGACAUUUAUUCCAUUCCAUUCCAUUCUAUUUUAUUCUAGUCUAUUCCAUUUUAUUCGAUUUCACUUCAUUAAAGCGAAUGCUGAUGCGGCCCCAGUAUCUUCAUUUCCUGGCCCCCUGAUGGGUUGCAUCCACACUUUGACUCAGAAGGAAAGUUCGAAAUCCUUAGCCUUCUUCUCAAGGUUCUUGCCAAUCUACCACCCCCAGGCUCCCCGCUCCUGCCAGCUGCCCCCAAUGUCCCUCCAGCCUUUUCUUCAGGACUCCACGUGAGAACUUUGAUUUUAUUCUCUCCAGACUGUCCCAGUUCUCAGUGCUUCCUGACGCUCUUCUCCCUGUCCUGGUUGGUGCCAUUCCCUACCUCAUCCUGCCGGACUCACGGGCUCAGUUCCACCCCUGCCUCCUUUCUGCAGCGUCCUCCACCAAGGUCCUCCUCUUUUGUUUCCUGCCCCACACAUCCGGCAUCUAGAUCAGGAGCAUGGGCUCUGCUUUCAUAACUCUUAAUUUAUGAACAACCCACCACUUCUAGGUGUGCUUCCCAGUCCAAACCAUCAGGAAAUGCUUGGCCAGGAACAGGGCACUUAGCACUUUAGCAAGUUACUGGUGCCCAGAACACCCAACCCCGCCUUCCCCAAGGCCCCCACCCUUGGGCUGCCUGUGGUGUGAUGGAGAAGAAGUGGGAAUGUUUUGGUAGCAAGCUGGAAUCAAAAGCCAAUUUUCCUGCAGAGAUAAACAAUGCUAUAUAGGUAGAUGCACCUGAAAAGGUGUUUUGAGCGCUGUGCUUAAAUACAUCGUGGUUAUGUCAGCCUUUAUGAGCUAGCCAAACAAGCUGCCCUCUAACUCGGAAAAUCAUUUUUACAAUUGCGCUACAUCCUGUACAAGUUCUAAAUCAUCGAGCAACAAACAACUUUUGGAAUUCUGCCUGUCCUUUGGUUGUCACCACCUGUACUGCCCAGUCUUACCACCUUUCCAGAUGGGUGUGUCUUCUCUCCCCAGCGGAUGCCAGGCCUCUGAGCACAAGCACUGUGUCCCCAGCCUCCCCCCAUUUGCUACGGGGCUGAGCAUGGCGCCUUGUGCAAGGUGGGGUCUCCCUCUGUGACCAUUUGUCAUCUCAUGACAUGUCGUCCUCCCUGCCUCCUCUGAGCACCCUGCGACCUCAGCUCCGUCUUUACCUUGGAUUAUCCCAGAGUAAAUGGGCCCGUCUGUUGUUUGGAAAAUCUUAAGGGAUACUUAGGAAAGAGAAAACAUGGAGAGAGAUGAGAAGGGAGAUAGAAGAGGAGAAGGAAGGAAGAAAGACUAGAAAAUAGAUAAGAAUGAGGGAACAGAAAUGAAGAGAGGAAGAAAGACAGGAGAGAAAAGGUAAAAAUAUGACAACGGGGGAGAAAAAGAGAGAUGAGGACAGAAAAAUAAGAGGAGGAGAAAACGGAAAGUCAAAACAAAAAGAAAAGAAAAAGGAAAAUGCUACUAAGCUGACGAGAAAUUGUUUUCCAGCAGAAAAAGGCAGAGAAGCCAGACUAGGGCGUGAGAACUAAGAUUCAGGAUUUCCAUCCUGGACACAAAGAGACCAAGGUGUAUGGAGUUUCAUUUCUACAAGAUGAAGAGGACUAUGGAGAUGGAUGCUGGCGAUGGCUGCACUACAUCAAGGGUGUAUUUACCACCAUUGAACUGUACCCUGAAGAAUGGUUCAGAUGGUAAAUUUCACAUUAUAUGUAUUUUACCACAAUGAAAAGAACAACUAAAAAAACACAAAAACCAAAGAUGCCUAUUUGAUCAACCCCCUAUUAAUGAACAACUAGGAGUUUGCAUUUAGUAUAUGGACUAAAUUUUAUUACAUAUUUUUCAAGUAUAAAGUUCUGAGCUUCAUGCUAGAUAUCCAAUAGAAUUAUUGAUUUAAAAUAAAUAAGAGAAAUGUUCCAGGGUCAAGGAUUGACUGAGAAGGGACAUGAGGGAAUUUUCUGGGGUGAUAGUAUUGUUCUAUAUCUUGAUAAGAGUUUAGAUUCCCUGGGUGCAUGCAUACACACUUAAGAUUUGCAAAUGUACACUUAAGGAUUGUACAUUUCCUUGGAGGUAAAUUUUACAUCAAAAGAAAAAACUGUAAAGAAAUAUUUAACUCUAAAAAAAAGAGUGACCAAGGAGAGGACUCGGGCAGGUAUUUCUGAUGGAUGAGGAGCUAUAGCCACCUAAUAGAGCCAACAGCUGUUUACAGACCCAAGCUAAGCUGGAGAGGAUGCGGGGGUCACUCCCUUUGCACUGGCCAGUGGCUUCAGGCUGUAGGCAGCCUUCAAGCCCUGGCCCAAGUCAGAACCUCUUCAGUGUAUGGCAUCACCUUACUGCUAAUGGAGCAUCUUCCCCUGAAAUUCCCAAGACAGUGGUCCCACCCAUCCUUGGAGAAGGAGGAGGAGAUGGCAAGGCCAUGGACGGUUCCAGGUGCUCUCAAGUCCCUAAGUGCUGUCCAGGGUGCGGCCCAGAGCACUUAUGUGAGGGACCAGUGCAUAUCUGCCUCAUGACACAUCAGGCUCUAAAAAAGCAAAGAGAAGUUAAGAAGAUUAAACUAGAUGCAAUGGUCCACUGGAAUGCCUUUCUGCUGACCCCUUAAACUGGCCUGUGUGUGGCAUGGAUGAUGGGAUUUUGGAGGACAAGGUGAAAUCAACCCUUUGUGGUCCUGUUCCAAAUGCCCUCUAUUCACUUACAACAUGUAUCUCUUAUGGAAGGUCUUUGAGCUACAAGGGGAAAAAAUAUCAGUUGAAGACUACACAACAGAAAACAACUUAAAAAUGAGUUUUUACUUUGAGAGAGGGAUAUGCACAAUGUUAUCUACUUUUUCGUUAAUGUACAACAGAAAACUCUAUCUAGUAAAAACAAAAAUAAUAAAAUACAUACAUUGGGUUAAUAUUGAGGUUAGUUGAAAGAAAGAGAGAAAGAGGAGGAGAGUAAGACUAGAUAGGAAAGAUGGAGAGAGGCAGACACAUAGAGGCAGAGAAGGAAAAUGAAGAGAGAGAGAGAGAAAGAUGAUCGACUGAGGGGGAAAAAGGGACAGAUACACAUGCAUAAAGCACACAGAUGCCCACAGGCAGACAGAGACCCUCAGAGACCAAUAAAGAAAGAUACACAUAUGGGUGAGGCACUUAUGAACGUAGGCAGGCCCACAGAUCUGUGCAGGAAGAAACAGUUGCAGCCUGGGAUCUCUUAGAGCAUCCCUGAAAGGUGGAAAAUGCUGUUCCUUUCCCGCAACUGCAGCACAAAUGAAGAUUGUGCCUGAUACUUUCACCGCAAUCAGAUGGUGUUAAGCUAAAGGUCAGAUAUCAGACAGACUGUCCCUACUCCUGAUUUAUUUGGAUGACAUACGGGUCCCAAUUUGGUGCUAAGCUUUUUCAUUUCCCUUCUCAGUUAAGACAGGUUUUUAAGCACUGUUUAUACCUUUAGAAUAAUUUGUCAUCAAUUCAUUUGGGCAUUAGGUGGGCAUCAGGGCCCCUUAAAGAUGUCCAGGUCCUAAUCUUCAGAACCUGAGACUAUGUUAUGUUACACAUCAAGGGAGAAUUGAGGUUACAGAUGGAACCGAGGUUGCUUAUCAGCUGACAUUAAAAUAAAGAGAUUAUCCUGGAUUAUACGGUGGGCUGGGUGUAAUCACAGGGUCUUUAAAUGGAGAAGCAGAAGAGUCAGAAGUGAAGAGGAGGCAUCAUGAGAAAGACUCAAAGAGCCAUUGCUAAUUUAGGAUGGAGGAAGGAGCCAGGAGCCACGGAAUGUAAGAGGCCUCUAGAAGCUGGAAAAGGCAAGAAAUGGAUUCUCCUCUGGAAUCUCCAGAAAGGAAAGCAGCCCUGCUGAAUACUUUGAUUUUCGCCCAGUAAGACCUGUUUCAGACUUCUGA